GACGGAAGUCGGGGCUAGUGCGUAAGCUACCAUACAAAUAGUUUUAUGACGACUUCGGAACGUAUUUUAACGGAAUCGGAUCGGAAGAGUGCCUAAUCGGUCACA
Long non-coding RNA from Maniola jurtina (meadow brown), 105 nucleotides. RefSeq lists it as uncharacterized. The transcript has 3 exons. The record is from RefSeq and is a predicted model, not a curated record. NCBI's taxonomy places the organism in Eukaryota, Metazoa, Arthropoda, Insecta, Lepidoptera, Nymphalidae.